GAUGGUUUUAAAAAUGAGAGUUUCCCUGCACAAGCUCUCUUUCUGCCUGCUGCCAUCCACAUAAGAUGUGGCUUGCUCCUCCUUGCCUUCCACCAUGAUUGUGAGGCUUCCUCAGCCAUGGAACUAAUUGUCCUCUCACUGUGACAUCCAGUCAACACUGGCCUUCAUUCUACGCCUGCUGCCCUGAUGAUUGCACGUUAAUGAAGCACAAAGAGGAGUUAUUACUGUCCAUUUAUUUUCCAUCCCCACAGAUAGUAGUAGGACCAGCCUGUCCUCUUCUUAAUACAGCUUCUGUGGUGGCAGAAGGACCAGCUACAUAAUUUGCAGGACCCAGUAGGAGGUUUAUCUUCCAAAAAUUCACCUCAUCUCACCUAUGACAUCCACAUACCCUCCAGUGGCUACUACAGCAGAAGAUCGUCAACAUAGCUCCCAUCUUUGGGCUAUCUUCCAGCAAGAGCCUGAAUAGUUGUCUCACUUUCAUAUUGAGCAAGGACAUGGAAUCUCUGACAAACGAGGAAGACUUGGAACACUUAAGCAAGCAUAACCUCCUGAGAGAAUUUACCAUGAGCAUGUGAUGCUUAGGCUACGGCAGCCAUCUUGGUACCCUGAGAAGAGUCACCCUAAGAGAAGAUGCCAGCAUUCUAGGAAAAGCAGGGCGGGGAUGGAGAAAAAAUCCAGGGCCUGGAUGACAUUGCUGAGCUGCUGAGUUAACCUAGAACUAUCCUAACUCAAGAUUUCUCUUUAUAAGAAUCUCUCUUGCAGGAGUAACACAGGCAUGUGGAGAAUUUCUCAGAGUAUUUCCGCAGCAACCAACUGGCAUGAAGAAUACUUUGCUGAAACAUGGGGUUCAAAAGCAGCCCACAGCUCUCUUUCAGACCUCUGAAGUCACACCCAGUGGUCUAGUCAACAUUUCCUCUUGCAGAGAUUGUAAAGGUUUCAAUCUUAACACCAUGUGACUAAUUCGGUCUCUAUGAUCAAAGCCUUAUAAGAAAGAAUGACUGGUUGACCCGACAUGGACCAAGUGACCGUUCUUGUUCCCAGUGUGUUGUGGGCUAAGAAGAGAUGGGCACAGAAUGAUGGGAACGCAGAGCGAAAGGGCCCAACUCUACCAGGAGGGGAAGAUAAAAACUCCUGAAGAAAUUAUACAAAAAUAGAAUACUUACAACAGAAUUCUCAACAUCAUUUUUCCCUGUUUGAAUCCAGCAAGUCAGCCAUUGGUCACUUAAGAGCACUAACCCCUCCCUGGUUUGAAGAUGUUCUUGACUUUAAAUACAAACAUCUGAUAUUCCAGCUUAGACUCCUCCACAAGAACUAGAGUGUCAUCCUAUUUUGGCUUCCAGCUCAGUCCCUCUGCUACAAGUCUUGACUCCAGAACUCUGUGGGAUAAUAAAAUACAAGAUCAUAGCUUGAAAAUAGAGCGUGCAUCUGGUGUGGUUUGUUGUUUUGGCUUAAUUAGGACUUGCCGUUUCCUGAAUUCCUGUAAUCUCAUUUGAUGAAUUGUGUUGGUUACUUGCUCUGCAGGCUUUGAGCAUGUGGCACAUAUCAGAGGAAAUGAUUUCCCCUUUCUUCUUUGAAAAUCAUCUUCUGGUGCAUUAAAAAAAGAAAGCCAAUGUUUUUGGAUUUCUUUAGCUGUCCAUAGAAUUAC
Molecule: long non-coding RNA, 1645 nt
Filed under: Homo sapiens (human)
Lineage: Eukaryota; Metazoa; Chordata; Mammalia; Primates; Hominidae
Description: HSALNT0017166
Source: RNAcentral